GUGGAUUAGAUACCCCAGUAGUCCUGGCAGUAAACGGUGCGCGCUUGGUGUGAGGGGAUUCGACCCCCCUCGUGCCGGAGCUAACGCGUUAAGCGCGCCGCCUGGGAAGUACGGUCGCAAGACUAAAACUCAAAGAAAUUGACGGGGACCCGCACAAGCGGUGGAGUAUGUGGCUUAAUUCGAUGCAACGCGAAGAACCUUACCAAGGCUUGACAUGCAUCUCUAAGCGCGUGAAAGCGCGUGACCCUUCGGGGGAUUUGCACAGGUGCUGCAUGGCCGUCGUCAACU
This 288-nucleotide ribosomal RNA is filed under the name uncultured bacterium. RNAcentral describes it as "partial 16S ribosomal RNA". It matches the Rfam family "Bacterial small subunit ribosomal RNA", at positions 773 to 1060 of the family's 1533-position model. The record is from RNAcentral.